This is a non-coding RNA of Macaca mulatta (Rhesus monkey), 128 nucleotides long. The record is from RefSeq and is a predicted model, not a curated record. Lineage: Eukaryota; Metazoa; Chordata; Mammalia; Primates; Cercopithecidae.
CCUCCCAAAGUGCUGGGAUUAUAUGCGUGAGCCACCAUACCCAGCCCAAGCAAAGCAGGCACAGCUGGAAGGCAGAGCACAGAUCCUCCAAAAUCAAAGAUCCCAUUUUUACGCCAAAUCCUGGGUCC